UGGGGAAUAUUGGACAAUGGGCGCAAGCCUGAUCCAGCCAUGCCGCGUGAGUGAUGAAGGCCCUAGGGUUGUAAAGCUCUUUCACCGGUGAAGAUAAUGACGGUAACCGGAGAAGAAGCCCCGGCUAACUUCGUGCCAGCAGCCGCGGUAAUACGAAGGGGGCUAGCGUUGUUCGGAUUUACUGGGCGUAAAGCGCACGUAGGCGGACUUUUAAGUCAGGGGUGAAACCCCGGGGCUCAACCCCGGAACUGCCUUUGAUACUGGAAGUCUUGAGUAUGGUAGAGGUGAGUGGAAUUCCGAGUGUAGAGGUGAAAUUCGUAGAUAUUCGGAGGAACACCAGUGGCGAAGGCGGCUCACUGGACCAUUACUGACGCUGAGGUGCGAAAGCGUGGGGAGCAAACAGG
RNAcentral lists this ribosomal RNA (404 nucleotides) under Pseudomonas sp. Its description in RNAcentral is "partial 16S ribosomal RNA". It matches the Rfam family "Bacterial small subunit ribosomal RNA", at positions 355 to 776 of the family's 1533-position model. RNAcentral also lists the same sequence under 2 other names. Lineage: Bacteria; Pseudomonadati; Pseudomonadota; Gammaproteobacteria; Pseudomonadales; Pseudomonadaceae. The record is from RNAcentral.